Ruditapes philippinarum (Manila clam) is the source of this 1990-nucleotide RNA transcript. It is a transcript of the gene named major surface trophozoite antigen 11-like, with no coding region annotated. The record is from RefSeq and is a predicted model, not a curated record. The transcript is spliced from 4 exons. NCBI's taxonomy places the organism in Eukaryota, Metazoa, Mollusca, Bivalvia, Venerida, Veneridae.
CAGAUCUAAACUUCCUGCUUUGAGAUAAGUUUUAUUUUAACCAUUGAUGUUACAUCGAAUGUUCUUUUCAUGUGGAGUUUACGUGUAACGGUGUUUGGAUAUUAUGGGAUAAAAAUUACUUAUUCUUUUUUGGAAAAAUGAAGUGGAGUUUAAAUUUGACAUUGUUUGUUUGGUGUAUAUGGUUAAAUGUUAGCAAGAAUCAGGUAGAAGGAGAGAUUAAUGAACAAUGUUUAGAAGAUUGUGGAUGCUGUAUAGAUAGAAAAUGUGGACCUGGGCAUAACUUUCCUGACGAAUGCACUUUCGGCUGUAUUAAUGGCCAUAGAGGUGCUCGAUGUUAUGAACUAUGUACAUACAAUUGUACAGAAUGCCCUUAUCGUGCAGAUGAGUGUAGUUCGUGUUAUGAUGGCUAUUACCCCGGCCCUGCUAGAGAUUGUACAUCAGAAUGUUUACCCGGAUGUAAAACAUGCACGUCAGGAACCACGUGUACAUCAUGCAAGGAUGGAUAUGAUAACGCCGUUGGUCAAAAUGAUUGUAGUAAUCAAUGUAAUAAUAGUCAAUGCGAAUCAUGUAAGGACUAGGGAGAAAACAUAAAAGCGGUGAAAGGAAGGGAGGGAUAUGUAUUAGGUAAAUGAUAAAAAGUAAAAGGGCCAAUACGGGAUAUAAAGGGAAAAUGGAUAUAAGGGGAAAUAAGGGGGAGUGGUAGGAUUAAGAGGGGUAAUAGGGAAAUAUACCGUUAAUGUCAAAUUAACAAGAUAAGACUUCACAGAACGUGCAAACAUUCAUAACAUUUAUCAAAUCGCAAAACACACACGAACACAGAGGGUGACCGCCUUGGAACGGCCAGUAGUAAUAACACCACUGGAGUGUUUUAACCGGUGUUAGGUUCGCCUCACACUUAGUCCAACAAUGUUCCUUUAUGUCGAGAAAGUGUCAAUUAAAGUGACUGUAAAAAUAAUUAUACGUGUUUAUGUACAGAAUUAAAGUACGAAUAUGAGAAAAAGAGAUAAAUUAUAAAAAAAAUUAAAGAACGCACAAAACGACAAAAUUGAAAUUGUUGCAGGCUUGGUUUGAUUGAACCUGUUCAUGGACGGUAUUAGAAUGUGCAAGUUACCGUCCACGUCCCCUAAGACUGGCUUAAGUAGUUUUCGACGUUUAAAUUGAAAUAGUAAAUACGUAAUUUUGAAACAUCCGCAGAUGCGUUUAUACGGCGAUUAUCAUGGACCCUUCAAAGUGACACGUUAAUGUCUUCCAUAAAAAGCGGAACGCUUUUAUUUCUACGCCGCCAAGAUAAUUGUGUUGUUUAUCGAUGAUUUUUAGACUCAAGUACCUCAGAAAAGUCAGUAGAUAUAGCUGAUAUAUCCCUUGGACAUUUUUCUGCUGUGUCAGCAAUUGUUAACAUCAUACUUGUGGUUACAGUGAUUCUCUGGAAAUCGGAAAAGGCAUUGAACUGGAAUGUGGCAAUUCAGGAAAUGUUGGCGCUAUCAGCAAGCAUGGAAUUGUACAAUGUUUUCUACACUUUUAAUUGACGUCUUUCUUGAUUUUUCUUUGCAUUUCAUUUAAAAUAUAUGUGACGCGCUCAGCGAUUUUUGGCCCAAUUGAAGUUUUUAAUAAUUGUGAGAAAAACGCUUGCAAAGUCACGCGAGUGUUCAUGUCUUAAUUUUUAGGGUUUCCCUUCAAAACAUAGUAUCUUUGAAAGUUUAAAGAAUAAAAUAAACUAGAAAGAAAUAAAAAAAAUUACUUUUGAAAAGCCCUUCUCAGCUUCCACGAUAAACAUUUCCCAAAAAUCUAUAUUUAGAAUAAAUACACUGUCAGGAGUAGGGUCAGCGAGUACACUACCUUUUACGUCAUGUUACUGCAUAUAUUUGCAGGUUUAAGGUAGUAGGACCCUAAUGGGCACUAUCAGGAACUAAAGAAUUGACAUCAUAGGUCAGAUGUAUACCUUAAAGUACACCUGUAUGCAAAAUUUAAACAAAGUUUACCGUACGGAAAU